Molecule: long non-coding RNA, 449 nt
Filed under: Homo sapiens (human)
Lineage: Eukaryota; Metazoa; Chordata; Mammalia; Primates; Hominidae
Description: non-protein coding lnc-TMEM116-5:1
Source: RNAcentral
AAAAAGGUAAUUAGUGCCUUUCUUUUUAUUCUUCCUUUUCCUUUCAUUAUCAUUUUCUUUUUGUCUCAAAAUAAUGAAAAAUGCAUAAGGGUCUGUAGAGAGAAGAAAAUGUCCUUGCCCAUGAACUUCUUGCAGGUAUUUAUCUUGCUUCUUUAUCUUACUAAAAAUAGAAUUGAAAGUUUUUCAUUUUUUGUUUUUCAAUUUUAGAGGAUACAAUGGAGAUUCAGGAACGAAUAGAAAAUAGUUUUAAGUCUUUACUAGACCAGUUAAAAGAUGUCUUCAGUAAAUGUAAAGGUGACCUCUUAGAAGUUAAAGAUGGUAACUUGAAAACACAUCCUACUCUUUUAGAAAAUCUAGUUUUCUUUGUUGAGACUAUUUCUGUUAUCCUUUGGGUAUCCAGUUACUGUGAGAGUGUCCUACGACCAUACAAACUAAAUUUACAGAAAAAG